GUAAGUCGAGGGGUAACAGGAGUGCUUGCACUCGCUGACGACCGGCGCACGGGUGCGUAACGCGUAUAGAACCUACCUUUUACAGAGGGAUAGCCUUUAGAAAUGAAGAUUAAUACCUCAUAGUACUAAGAUUUGGCAUCAUAACUUAGUUUAAGAUUUAUCGGUAAAAGAUGGCUAUGCGUCCUAUUAGCUAGAUGGUAAGGUAACGGCUUACCAUGGCAACGAUAGGUAGGGGUCCUGAGAGGGAGAUC
Molecule: ribosomal RNA, 251 nt
Filed under: uncultured bacterium
Lineage: Bacteria
Description: partial 16S ribosomal RNA
Rfam family: Bacterial small subunit ribosomal RNA
Source: RNAcentral